UAUAGCAAAAAGCCUGAAGGUUGAUUCUACUCACCAGAACAAAUUCAACUAGAAAAGCUACAAUUUCUGGGGAAAUCGUGUGAAGUGUUCUUGCCUCCACCAGUAGUCUACAACUGGAGUGGGCGGAGUAACUGGGUGAAGUGCCUUGAGUAACUGUUGUGGGGUUGGAGUGGCUGGAGUAACUGUGGAAAGGUUGGACUGGGCAGAGUAACUUUAUGGAGUGGGCAGAGUAACUGUGUGUGGAGUGUUUGGAGUGAGUAAAGAUAGUAAACUUUACACUAACCAAUUGAUCAAAUUUAAAAAGUGCACAUGGCAAGCUUGAUAGUGAGAAAUGUAUUUCAACUUUUAUUUAUUUAUAUAGCACAUUUAAUUGCAACGUUGUUGUCCAAAGUGCUUCACAGUACUUAUAAAAACAUUAGCAGGUGUACAAAAGGCCCUGUCUAUGACAUCACUUGCUGCUGCAGCCUGGCACAGGUCAGAGUAUUUUGGCGGUUGCCAUCUUCAAACGGUCGUAUUUUAAAAACUAUAAAUCCUACAGCGAAGAGCUUUACAUUGUGAGAAUCACAAGACCCAGACCUACAUUUUGCAUAGUAUGUCUCUGAACUAUUCAAAUAAAGGCACAAUCGCAGGCUAGAAAUUGCCCUUUAAGUUUGAGCUGGCUAGAGUGCAGUUUCAAUGAAUGUCAAUGGACGGCGUGAGUUGCAAACAAAUGGUCAUAUUGUGAAAACUUUUGAUAGAAGAUUUGUGUAGGUGGGCUUGAAAAUGAGGGAGUGGUGGCAGUUUAGAAAUCAUGUCCUGAUUUUUCAGCUUUUGCCAACUCCCACUCUAGUUUUGAACAUUUUGCCAUUCAAUCCUAUGGGACCAAUUUCACCACAAAAAAAGACAAUAUUUUGUGAACCAUUCCGUGAAACGUUCCACAAAGUAAUAGCACACCAAUCGGGAACAAUCCGCACGUUUCGGUAUAUUACUGUCUAUGUAGUGUAAAAACUGUGGGAGGAGUUAGGGUGGUAAAUUUGGCUAUAAUAAGAAUAAUAAUAUAUAUGUGAGAUAACAUUAAGUGGUCUUGCUAUGCAAGAACACUUAAUAAGCUGUAGUUGUUCUGGUGACUAUAGUGUCCCUUUAAGUUUACUAGACUGUUCCUGGACAAUUCAGGCUGUUUCAAAGUGGACAUUAUUCUGUUGGGGGGAUAAUUGUGCACACUUUAGGCUUUCUUAAAAUUUGCGUGUUUAUCAACCUGUACCUUCCUCCUGAAAUCCUAAUGAAACAGAAGGCAUGCAACCAGAAUGUGUUUCUAAUUCAUUGUUAUAUUAAUAGCAAAAAGACAAAAUUGUGUCAAGUUAAUUUAUUCUGUAUAUUUUUGCACAUCAGUCACUUGAUUAACUAGACUGUUGCUCUGCUGUUUGCUUUGUGAUUUUUAGUCUUGUGUGAACUCUCCUCCAUUUGUUGGCUGUUUUUUUGAAUGAUAACUAUUCUUUAUAUAUAAUGGGCAAGACUGUGAAAACCCCACCAAUGUUGCAAGUUUGUGCUCCUGGUACCCACCAUAAACCCAUUAAAAG
RNAcentral lists this long non-coding RNA (1556 nucleotides) under Pelobates cultripes (western spadefoot toad). Lineage: Eukaryota; Metazoa; Chordata; Amphibia; Anura; Pelobatidae. The record is from RNAcentral.